Molecule: ribosomal RNA, 495 nt
Filed under: uncultured bacterium
Lineage: Bacteria
Description: partial 16S ribosomal RNA
Rfam family: Bacterial small subunit ribosomal RNA
Source: RNAcentral
GACGAACGCUGGCGGCGUGCCUAAUACAUGCAAGUAGAACGCUGAAGGAGGAGCUUGCUUCUCUGGAUGAGUUGCGAACGGGUGAGUAACGCGUAGGUAACCUGCCUGGUAGCGGGGGAUAACUAUUGGAAACGAUAGCUAAUACCGCAUAAGAGUAGAUGUCGCAUGACAUUUGCUUAAAAGGUGCAAUUGCAUCACUACCAGAUGGACCUGCGUUGUAUUAGCUAGUUGGUGGGGUAACGGCUCACCAAGGCAACGAUACAUAGCCGACCUGAGAGGGUGAUCGGCCAAACUGGGACUGAGACACGGCCCAGACUCCUACGGGAGGCAGCAGUAGGGAAUCUUCGGCAAUGGACGGAAGUCUGACCGAGCAACGCCGCGUGAGUGAAGAAGGUUUUCGGAUCGUAAAGCUCUGUUGUAAGAGAAGAACGAGUGUGAGAGUGGAAAGUUCACACUGUGACGGUAUCUUACCAGAAAGAGACGGCUAACUACGUG